This 262-nucleotide unclassified non-coding RNA is filed under the name fungal sp. Its description in RNAcentral is "partial internal transcribed spacer region". The stretch from base 1 to 46 matches the Rfam family "Eukaryotic small subunit ribosomal RNA", at positions 1786 to 1831 of the family's 1831-position model. The record is from RNAcentral. Lineage: Eukaryota; Fungi.
AAGUCGUAACAAGGUUUCCGUAGGUGAACCUGCGGAAGGAUCAUUACCAUGGGGACACUCGGUGUCGCACACAUUCCCGAGCAGACGUGGUGCGGCUCCGUGCCACGUCAGGGACCGGCUCGGUCUAGCGCCGUCCCCUGCCGCCAAGCAGGAGCUCAGUCCCAUCGGGACGAAAGGACGGACUGGUGCUUUCGCAUCCAACCUGUGCUUGAAAAGGAACACACAACAGCAGAACAACUGCAAACGGUGGAUCACUCGGCUC